UGGGGAAUAUUGGACAAUGGGCGCAAGCCUGAUCCAGCCAUGCCGCGUGCAGGAUGAAGGCCUUCGGGUUGUAAACUGCUUUUGUACGGAACGAAAAGGUGCCUUCUAAUAAAGGGCGCUCAUGACGGUACCGUAAGAAUAAGCACCGGCUAACUACGUGCCAGCAGCCGCGGUAAUACGUAGGGUGCGAGCGUUAAUCGGAAUUACUGGGCGUAAAGCGUGCGCAGGCGGUUUUGUAAGACAGAGGUGAAAUCCCCGGGCUCAACCUGGGAACUGCCUUUGUGACUGCAAGGCUGGAGUGCGGCAGAGGGGGAUGGAAUUCCGCGUGUAGCAGUGAAAUGCGUAGAUAUGCGGAGGAACACCGAUGGCGAAGGCAAUCCCCUGGGCCUGCACUGACGCUCAUGCACGAAAGCGUGGGGAGCAAACA
This 427-nucleotide ribosomal RNA is filed under the name uncultured bacterium. Its description in RNAcentral is "bacterial SSU rRNA". It matches the Rfam family "Bacterial small subunit ribosomal RNA", at positions 355 to 774 of the family's 1533-position model. The record is from RNAcentral.